Long non-coding RNA from Cygnus olor (mute swan), 1356 nucleotides. RefSeq lists it as uncharacterized. The record is from RefSeq and is a predicted model, not a curated record. The transcript has 4 exons. Lineage: Eukaryota; Metazoa; Chordata; Aves; Anseriformes; Anatidae.
CAGCUGUACCACCGAGAGGAGUUAUCAGCUCUAACUGUCCUUCACCUCCCUCCCUGCUGGAAGGGACUGGUCCCUUUGAUCUGCUGACAGAGCCAUUGCAGCGAUUCUUUUAAAGUGACAUCGGUUAGCUUAAACAGUUGUUUUUUUGCUAACUUGGCUCUUUUAGACUGAAAGGAAUUAGGGAGCUUGCUAGCCUCCUUCCCUAGCUCAGCUGUUUAUGGGCUGCACACAUGUUGGCACAGUUGGGGAGCCUGUUUCUCUCUCAGGUGAACUGGCAGAUGAGCUCCUGAGCUGUACAUCCUUCCUCGGCCCCUUUCUAGCAAGGACCUGCUCUUGCAUUUGAGGCCAGCAGUGGAGCUUUCCUUGAACGCAGCCCUGUUACAAACCAGCACAGUGGAGUAUCAACUCAGGCUCUGGCAGCUACAGCAUCUCAGCCCAUCACAGCUUUGCAAUUUCCAGCUGAAAUUUUGUUCUCAUUUUGUUGCUAUUUACAGUUUGCAAUGUGAAAUAUAACACAGCUGAUGUGAAUUUUCUUUGCUUUGUUGUAAAUUAGACAUAUAGUCAGGUUGUGGUGAUGAUUGCAGUAGCAUGUAUUUUUUUUUUCUGUUUAGGUUGGAUUUACGCUGGCCUAUCAAGUCUUUGGCUUGGUUGGUGACGUCGUUUCUUUCCUCUACGUUCAAAGCCUUCGCCUUAAGGACUUUUCUUUAAUUAUGGGAUUCUAUUUCAGAAAAUGAAAACAGUUUUAAGAAUAAUUCCCAGUGCAAAUCUCUUGCAUCUGGCUAGUUACAAUGUUCAGACUGGACUUUAUCCCUUUCUGAUUAUCUGUUUUCCAGGGUAAAAUGGAUCAACUGUGUAGCUGAGGGAAAUCUUGAUCAAUUUGGUAAGAAAUGCCCAUAGUGCCUAUGGUGAUUUGCAAUGGUCUUAAGUAUAGAAGACAGAGCAGCUGACUGAAAUUCACAGGGAGAAAAGUGACAUAGCUGUUAUCCUGCAAGUGAGACCAACCCAUAAGAGAGAAGUAGUAAUAAUUUUUGCCCACACAUUUCCCAUAAUUUGACCUACAUGUUUAGAAGAAAAUCCUGAAAUCCUUUGUUGAUCAAUUGUUUCUUCAAGCUUUUAUAUUUUCCUUGACAUCUUGGCUUACUCAGUAGGCCUGCCUUGUGAAUGAGUUCAUUAAGGACUGUGGUAUCUCGACAUCAGAGUGCUGUUAAAUGUACCUGAGGAUAUCAUAUGGGAAAUGAAAUGUUUUCUUGAAAGUUUGUUCCAAAAUGUUUUUUUAUUUUUUAUUACUGACCUGACAGUAAUGGUUGUGUUCUUGAACUGAGCUAGGUAUUUGGGUUUGUCUUAAAACCAACCAAC